This 915-nucleotide ribosomal RNA is filed under the name uncultured marine archaeon. RNAcentral's name for it is "bacterial SSU rRNA". It matches the Rfam family "Archaeal small subunit ribosomal RNA", at positions 1 to 922 of the family's 1478-position model. The record is from RNAcentral.
UUCCGGUUGAUCCCGCCGGAGGCUACCGCUAUUGGAGUUCGAUUAAGCCAUGCGAGUCGCGAGUCUUAGGGACUCGGCGUACCGCUCAGUAACACGUGGGUAACCUGCCCUAUGCUGGGGGAUAACCUCGGGAAACUGAGAAUAAUACCCCAUAGUUCACCACGCCUGGAACGGUGGGUGGAUGAAAGCUCCGGCGGCAUAGGAUGGGCCUGCGGCGUAUCAGGUUGUAGGGGGUGUAAUGUACCCUCUAGCCAUCUACGCGUACGGGUGUUGGGAGACAUCGCCCGGAGAUGGAUUCUGAGACACGAAUCCAGACCCUACGGGGUGCAGCAGGCGCGAAAACUUGGCAAUGCGAGCAAUCGUGACCAGGGAACUCCAAGUGCAUCGGGUAAGACCGAUGCUUUUCUUGACUCUUCAAAGGUCUUGGAAUAAGGGGUGGGUAAGGACGGUGCCAGCCGCCGCGGUAAUACCGGCGCCUCAAGUGGUAGUCGCUUUUAUUGGGCCUAAAACGUCCGUAGCCGGUUUGGUACAUUCGUGGGUAAAUCAAGGCGCUCAACGUCUUGAAUUCUGCGAGCACGGCCAGACUUGGGACCGGGUGAGGUGUGGGGUACUCUCAGGGUAGGGGUAAAAUCCUGUCAUCCUGAGAGGACCACCUGUUGCGAAGGCGCCACACUAGAACGGAUCCGACGGUCAGGGACGAAGCCUAGGGGCACGAACCGGAUUAGAUACCCGGGUAGUCCUAGGUGUAAACGCUGUGGACUUGAUGUUGGGAGUGCUCCGAGCACCCUCAGUGUCGAAGCGAAGGUGAUAAGUCCACUGCCUGGGGAGUACGGUCGCAAGGCUGAAACUUAAAGGAAUUGGCGGGGGAGCACUGCAACCUGAGGAUUGUGCGGUUUAAUUGGAUUCAACGCCGGA